RNAcentral lists this transfer RNA (62 nucleotides) under Cyrtodactylus quadrivirgatus. Its description in RNAcentral is "partial tRNA-Tyr". The record is from RNAcentral. Lineage: Eukaryota; Metazoa; Chordata; Lepidosauria; Squamata; Gekkonidae.
GUAUGGGCCCGAAAGCUUUGACGACUUGGGGGUCGUGUACGGAAAUUGGGCCCCCCAACCAA